RNAcentral lists this ribosomal RNA (432 nucleotides) under uncultured bacterium. RNAcentral describes it as "partial 16S ribosomal RNA". It matches the Rfam family "Bacterial small subunit ribosomal RNA", at positions 338 to 795 of the family's 1533-position model. The record is from RNAcentral.
CCUACGGGGGGCAGCAGUCGAGAAUUUUUCUCAAUGGGGGAAACCCUGAAGGAGCGACGCCGCGUGGAGGAUGAAGGUCUUCGGGUUGUAAACUCCUGUCAUUUGAGAACUAGUAUCAGAAGAGGAAGGGACGGCUAACUCUGUGCCAGCAGCCGCGGUAAUACAGAGGUCCCAAGCGUUGUUCGGAUUCAUUGGGCGUAAAGGGUGUGUAGGUGGCGCCGUAAGUCGGGUGUGAAAUCUCGGGGCUUAACUCCGAAACUGCAUUCGAUACUGCGGUGCUUGAGGACUGGAGAGGAGACUGGAAUUCAUGGUGUAGCAGUGAAAUGCGUAGAGAUCAUGAGGAAGACCAGUGGCGAAGGCGGGUCUCUGGACAGUCCUGACACUGAGACACGAAGGCCAGGGGAGCAAACGGGAUUAGAUACCCUUGUAGUC